This 1043-nucleotide ribosomal RNA is filed under the name uncultured bacterium. RNAcentral's name for it is "bacterial SSU rRNA". It matches the Rfam family "Bacterial small subunit ribosomal RNA", at positions 338 to 1398 of the family's 1533-position model. The record is from RNAcentral.
CCUACGGGGGGCAGCAGUGAGGAAUUUUGCGCAAUGGGGGAAACCCUGGACGCAGCGACGCCGCGUGGAGGACGAAGUCUCUCGAGAUGUAAACUCCUGUCAGUGGGGAUGAUAAUGACAGUACCCACAGAGGAAGCACCGGCUAACUCCGUGCCAGCAGCCGCGGUAAGACGGAGGGUGCAAGCGUUGUUCGGAAUUACUGGGCGUAAAGCGUACGUAGGCGGCGGAUUAAGUCGAAUGUUAAAGCCCGAGGCUCAACCUCGUGGAUGCAUUCGAUACUGGUUUGCUAGAGGGUGAUAGAGGAAAGCGGAAUUCCGAGUGUAGCGGUGAAAUGCGUAGAUAUUCGGAGGAACACCAAUAGCGUAAGCGGCUUUCUGGGUCACACCUGACGCUGAGGUACGAAAGCUGGGGAGCGAACGGGAUUAAAUACCCCGGUAGUCCACGCCGUAAACGAUGGAUGCUAGGCGUAGCGGGUAUCGACCCUUGCUGUGCCGUAGUUAACGCGUUAAGCAUCCCGCUUGGGGAGUACGUUCGCAAGAUUGAAACUCAAAGGAAUUGACGGGGGCCCGCACAAGCGGUGGAGGAUGUGGUUUAAUUCGACGCAACGCGAAGAACCUUACCAGGACUUGACAUCUAGCGAAUCUUUUCGAAAGAAGAGAGUGCCUUCGGGAACGCUAAGACAGGUGGUGCAUGGCUGUCGUCAGCUCGUGUCGUGAGAUGUUGGGUUAAGUCCCGCAACGAGCGCAACCCUCGGAUUUAGUUGCCAUCAUUUAGUUGGGCACUCUAGAUCGACUGCCGGUGACAAACCGGAGGAAGGUGGGGACGACGUCAAGUCAUCAUGCCCCUUACGUCCUGGGCUACACACGUCCUACAAUGGCGAGAUACAGAGGGCAGCGAAGCAGCGAUGUGGAGCGAAUCCCAGAAAGCUCGUCUCAGUUCGGAUUGCAGGCUGAAACUCGCCUGCAUGAAGUAGGAAUCGCUAGUAAACGCAGAUCAGCAUGCUGCGUUGAAUACGUUCCCGGGCCUUGUACACACCGCCCGUC